Molecule: long non-coding RNA, 200 nt
Filed under: Physcomitrium patens
Lineage: Eukaryota; Viridiplantae; Streptophyta; Bryopsida; Funariales; Funariaceae
Description: long non-coding RNA (PPAT_LNC013828)
Source: RNAcentral
GUAGGUCUCUAGACGUUACAGAGAACCCCAAACAACCCAAACUGUUAAUCUUCAAUACCGCUUUGUACUUACGAUCUUGUAUCCACUGAUUGUCUUGUUAGAUUAACCCAAUAAAUUUCAUUCACUCCGCAUACUCAAUCCUAUAGACACCCUUUUAAUCCUUCAAUCACAGACGUAACUCGAUUUCACAAAACAGUCAA